This is a long non-coding RNA of Glycine soja, 1020 nucleotides long. RefSeq lists it as uncharacterized. Lineage: Eukaryota; Viridiplantae; Streptophyta; Magnoliopsida; Fabales; Fabaceae. The record is from RefSeq and is a predicted model, not a curated record. The transcript has 5 exons.
CACUUUCUUUCUCUGUACAACUUGGAAGCUUUCUCUCUCUCAAAGCAGCAAGGUCCUCCACCACCACCACCUUCAAUCUUUGUCUUUCACACAGAGAGAGAUACUGUGUGUGAGAUCAGUUUUUGGUUCAUGGAUUCCUUUUCUCUUCUACACAAUUCCAAGCAUCUAUUCUUGGUUUGAACAAGUUUUGGGCUUUUGGUGGUAAUGUGGUGUCUCACUAUAUGAAAGUUGUGGGUUAAUUCUUUUCUUAAUUCAUUGUGUUCACAAUAUCCCAUAGAAGUAUUUAUAAAACAAACAAAAAGAAGAGACCCGUGAUGCAGAGAAGAAAGCAUAUACACCCAGACCUCUCAAAUAUACCAAUAAGAAAUAAGAAAAUAUAUCCUAUUAUUGGGUGUUGUACUCGCACGGAUCUUUGUCUUGCGUUGUUGCCUCAUGCACGGGUGUUUGAUUUUGUUAAUUUUGAUCUUUUUGCGGUUUUUGCGAUUUUUAUUUGGAUCGAGGUGUCUGUGGCCCAAUGGUAUUUCGGGUUCAAUCGCUUACAAUUGGUUUUUUUCUUAUAAUUUCUUAUCUUUUCCAAUACUGUUUUUUACCUAAUUUAAUUAUCUGGAUUUGCAUGCAAGCUCUCCACCUCAUUCACGGGUGUUUGAUUUUGUUAAUUUUGAUCUAAUAAAAGAGAAGUACCUGGAAAAUCCUGUUGUACCUGGAAAAUCCUUUUUGCAGUUUUUGCGAUUUUUAUUUGGAUCAGAGUGUCUGUGGCCGAGUGGUAUUUCGAGUUCAAUCGCUUACAAUUGGUCUCGGCUCAACAUGAAAACUGGUGUUAAGAUCAUUCACGCAAGGGUGUUUGUGGCUUAGUGGUAUUUUGGGUUCAAUCGCAUACAAUUGGGGAUAUAUUCUGAUACAGGAAAUCAAACUUGCAGUAAACGUAUGCCUGGAUCACUAGGACAUGAAGAACAAGAUGCACAAACAUUUGCUUCUUGGGUUGUGUUGAUGCAAUCCUAUCCCGCAAGGGCAUUGGGUAGA